Molecule: ribosomal RNA, 2902 nt
Filed under: Escherichia coli UMEA 3682-1
Lineage: Bacteria; Pseudomonadati; Pseudomonadota; Gammaproteobacteria; Enterobacterales; Enterobacteriaceae
Description: bacterial LSU rRNA
Rfam family: Bacterial large subunit ribosomal RNA
Source: RNAcentral
UUAAGCGACUAAGCGUACACGGUGGAUGCCCUGGCAGUCAGAGGCGAUGAAGGACGUGCUAAUCUGCGAUAAGCGUCGGUAAGGUGAUAUGAACCGUUAUAACCGGCGAUUUCCGAAUGGGGAAACCCAGUGUGAUUCGUCACACUAUCAUUAACUGAAUCCAUAGGUUAAUGAGGCGAACCGGGGGAACUGAAACAUCUAAGUACCCCGAGGAAAAGAAAUCAACCGAGAUUCCCCCAGUAGCGGCGAGCGAACGGGGAGGAGCCCAGAGCCUGAAUCAGUGUGUGUGUUAGUGGAAGCGUCUGGAAAGGCGCGCGAUACAGGGUGACAGCCCCGUACACAAAAAUGCACAUAUUGUGAGCUCGAUGAGUAGGGCGGGACACGUGGUAUCCUGUCUGAAUAUGGGGGGACCAUCCUCCAAGGCUAAAUACUCCUGACUGACCGAUAGUGAACCAGUACCGUGAGGGAAAGGCGAAAAGAACCCCGGCGAGGGGAGUGAAAAAGAACCUGAAACCGUGUACGUACAAGCAGUGGGAGCACGCUUAGGCGUGUGACUGCGUACCUUUUGUAUAAUGGGUCAGCGACUUAUAUUCUGUAGCAAGGUUAACCGAAUAGGGGAGCCGAAGGGAAACCGAGUCUUAACUGGGCGUUAAGUUGCAGGGUAUAGACCCGAAACCCGGUGAUCUAGCCAUGGGCAGGUUGAAGGUUGGGUAACACUAACUGGAGGACCGAACCGACUAAUGUUGAAAAAUUAGCGGAUGACUUGUGGCUGGGGGUGAAAGGCCAAUCAAACCGGGAGAUAGCUGGUUCUCCCCGAAAGCUAUUUAGGUAGCGCCUCGUGAAUUCAUCUCCGGGGGUAGAGCACUGUUUCGGCAAGGGGGUCAUCCCGACUUACCAACCCGAUGCAAACUGCGAAUACCGGAGAAUGUUAUCACGGGAGACACACGGCGGGUGCUAACGUCCGUCGUGAAGAGGGAAACAACCCAGACCGCCAGCUAAGGUCCCAAAGUCAUGGUUAAGUGGGAAACGAUGUGGGAAGGCCCAGACAGCCAGGAUGUUGGCUUAGAAGCAGCCAUCAUUUAAAGAAAGCGUAAUAGCUCACUGGUCGAGUCGGCCUGCGCGGAAGAUGUAACGGGGCUAAACCAUGCACCGAAGCUGCGGCAGCGACGCUUAUGCGUUGUUGGGUAGGGGAGCGUUCUGUAAGCCUGUGAAGGUGUGCUGUGAGGCAUGCUGGAGGUAUCAGAAGUGCGAAUGCUGACAUAAGUAACGAUAAAGCGGGUGAAAAGCCCGCUCGCCGGAAGACCAAGGGUUCCUGUCCAACGUUAAUCGGGGCAGGGUGAGUCGACCCCUAAGGCGAGGCCGAAAGGCGUAGUCGAUGGGAAACAGGUUAAUAUUCCUGUACUUGGUGUUACUGCGAAGGGGGGACGGAGAAGGCUAUGUUGGCCGGGCGACGGUUGUCCCGGUUUAAGCGUGUAGGCUGGUUUUCCAGGCAAAUCCGGAAAAUCAAGGCUGAGGCGUGAUGACGAGGCACUACGGUGCUGAAGCAACAAAUGCCCUGCUUCCAGGAAAAGCCUCUAAGCAUCAGGUAACAUCAAAUCGUACCCCAAACCGACACAGGUGGUCAGGUAGAGAAUACCAAGGCGCUUGAGAGAACUCGGGUGAAGGAACUAGGCAAAAUGGUGCCGUAACUUCGGGAGAAGGCACGCUGAUAUGUAGGUGAAGCGACUUGCUCGUGGAGCUGAAAUCAGUCGAAGAUACCAGCUGGCUGCAACUGUUUAUUAAAAACACAGCACUGUGCAAACACGAAAGUGGACGUAUACGGUGUGACGCCUGCCCGGUGCCGGAAGGUUAAUUGAUGGGGUUAGCGCAAGCGAAGCUCUUGAUCGAAGCCCCGGUAAACGGCGGCCGUAACUAUAACGGUCCUAAGGUAGCGAAAUUCCUUGUCGGGUAAGUUCCGACCUGCACGAAUGGCGUAAUGAUGGCCAGGCUGUCUCCACCCGAGACUCAGUGAAAUUGAACUCGCUGUGAAGAUGCAGUGUACCCGCGGCAAGACGGAAAGACCCCGUGAACCUUUACUAUAGCUUGACACUGAACAUUGAGCCUUGAUGUGUAGGAUAGGUGGGAGGCUUUGAAGUGUGGACGCCAGUCUGCAUGGAGCCGACCUUGAAAUACCACCCUUUAAUGUUUGAUGUUCUAACGUUGACCCGUAAUCCGGGUUGCGGACAGUGUCUGGUGGGUAGUUUGACUGGGGCGGUCUCCUCCUAAAGAGUAACGGAGGAGCACGAAGGUUGGCUAAUCCUGGUCGGACAUCAGGAGGUUAGUGCAAUGGCAUAAGCCAGCUUGACUGCGAGCGUGACGGCGCGAGCAGGUGCGAAAGCAGGUCAUAGUGAUCCGGUGGUUCUGAAUGGAAGGGCCAUCGCUCAACGGAUAAAAGGUACUCCGGGGAUAACAGGCUGAUACCGCCCAAGAGUUCAUAUCGACGGCGGUGUUUGGCACCUCGAUGUCGGCUCAUCACAUCCUGGGGCUGAAGUAGGUCCCAAGGGUAUGGCUGUUCGCCAUUUAAAGUGGUACGCGAGCUGGGUUUAGAACGUCGUGAGACAGUUCGGUCCCUAUCUGCCGUGGGCGCUGGAGAACUGAGGGGGGCUGCUCCUAGUACGAGAGGACCGGAGUGGACGCAUCACUGGUGUUCGGGUUGUCAUGCCAAUGGCACUGCCCGGUAGCUAAAUGCGGAAGAGAUAAGUGCUGAAAGCAUCUAAGCACGAAACUUGCCCCGAGAUGAGUUCUCCCUGACUCCUUGAGAGUCCUGAAGGAACGUUGAAGACGACGACGUUGAUAGGCCGGGUGUGUAAGCGCAGCGAUGCGUUGAGCUAACCGGUACUAAUGAACCGUGAGGCUUAACCUU